AGAGUUUGAUCCUGGCUCAGAACGAACGCUGGCGGCAUGCCUAACACAUGCAAGUCGAACGCGUGGAGCGAUCCACGCGUGGCGCACGGGUGAGUAACGCGUGGGAACCUGCCCUUGAGUGGGGGAUAACCCGGCGAAAGCCGGGCUAAUACCGCAUACGCCCCCGGGGAUGACCCGGGGGGAAAGAUUUAUCGCUCGAGGAGGGGCCCGCGUGGGAUUAGCUAGUUGGUGGGGUAACGGCCCACCAAGGCGAUGAUCCCUAGCUGGUCUGAGAGGAUGAUCAGCCACACUGGGACUGAGACACGGCCCAGACUCCUACGGGAGGCAGCAGUGGGGAAUAUUGGACAAUGGGGGCAACCCUGAUCCAGCAAUGCCGCGUGAGUGAUGAAGGCCUUAGGGUUGUAAAGCUCUUUCGCCCGCGACGAUGAUGACGGUAGCGGGAGAAGAAGCCCCGGCUAACUUCGUGCCAGCAGCCGCGGUAAUACGAAGGGGGCGAGCGUUGUUCGGAAUUACUGGGCGUAAAGGGCGCGCAGGCGGCGCAUGAAGUCAGGUGUGAAAGCCCCGGGCUCAACCUGGGAAUUGCACUUGAUACUCGUGUGCUGGAGUGCGGGAGAGGAGAGUGGAAUUCCCAGUGUAGAGGUGAAAUUCGU
Molecule: ribosomal RNA, 650 nt
Filed under: uncultured bacterium
Lineage: Bacteria
Description: bacterial SSU rRNA
Rfam family: Bacterial small subunit ribosomal RNA
Source: RNAcentral